RNAcentral lists this ribosomal RNA (440 nucleotides) under uncultured Anaerolineaceae bacterium. RNAcentral's name for it is "bacterial SSU rRNA". It matches the Rfam family "Bacterial small subunit ribosomal RNA", at positions 929 to 1382 of the family's 1533-position model. The record is from RNAcentral. Lineage: Bacteria; Bacillati; Chloroflexota; Anaerolineae; Anaerolineales; Anaerolineaceae.
GCAGCGGAGCGUGUGGUUUAAUUCGUUGCUACACGAAGAACCUUACCUGGGUUUGACAUAUAGGUUGUAGGGAACUGAAAAGGGACCGACCCUUCGGGGAGCCUAUACAGGUGUUGCAUGGCUGUCGUCAGCUCGUGUCGUGAGAUGUUCGGUUAAGUCCGCUAACGAGCGCAACCCUCGUCGUAUGUUAUAUGUGUCAUACGAGACUGCCGGUAAAAAGCCGGAGGAAGGUGAGGAUGAUGUCAAGUCAGCAUGACCUUUAUAUCCAGGGCUACACACACGCUACAAUGGUCUGUACAAUGGGUAGCCAAGCCGCGAGGCGGAGCCAAUCCUGAAAGCAGGCCUCAGUUCAGAUUGCAGUCUGCAACUCGACUGCAUGAAGCCGGAGUUGCUAGUAACCGCAGGUCAGCAAUACUGCGGUGAAUACGUUCCCGGGUCUU